UGCUCGACGAGGCGUUCCGCGAGAAGAUCCACGCGCGGCAGGCCGGCUGGCGCACGGCCGUACAGGCCGCCAUCCAGCUGGGGAUUCCGGUUCCGGCGAUGAGCGCGUCGCUCGCCUACUUCGACUCGUACCGGACCGACCGCCUGCCGGCCAACCUCACCCAGGCUCAGCGCGAUUUCUUCGGCGCCCACACCUACCGGCGCGUGGACCGCGACGGCGCGUUUCACACCGACUGGACUCCAGAGGCAUGAGCAUCGGAUUCGACAUCCCCAGGGACGGCGCGCUCGACUUUCUCUCGCUCGGCGCGAUCGUGCAUCGGCUCGACCCCGGCCUCGUGCCAUUUCGCAAGGCCACGCGGUGCACGAUUCACGUGAGCGGCGGCGAGUUCAACACGGCCGCCAACCUGUCCGAUUGCUUCCGCCUGCGCACGGGUGUGGCGUCGGCGAUGGUCGACUACCCCAUCGGCGACCUGAUCGCCGAGCGUGUGCGCGCGAUGGGUGUCCGGCCGUUCUACAAGCACUUCGUCCAUGACGGCGCGCGCGGCCCCAACAUGGCGACGGUCUACAGCGACCUCGGCUAUGGCGUGCGCGGCCCCGUGGUCUUCUACAACCGGAGCAACGAGGCGGCUGCGCUGCUCAAGCCAGGCGAUUUCGACUGGGCGGCCAUAUUCGGCGCCGGCGUCCGCUGGUUCCACAGCGGCGGCAUCUUCUCGGCUCUCUCGGAGACGACAGCCGAGCUGAUCAUCGAGGCGAUGAAGGCCGCCAAGGCUCACGGCACCGUGGUGUCGUUCGACCUCAACUUCCGGGAAAAGCUCUGGCAGCUCUCGGGCGGCGUCGCGCGCGCCCAGGCCGUGCUCUCACGCAUCGUCGAGCACGUCGACGUCCUGGUCGGCAACGAAGAGGACCUCCAGAAGGGCCUUGGAAUCCAGGGGCCCGACGUGACGUCGUCGUCAAAGCUCGACUCGAGCGUGUUCACCGGGAUGAUCGAGAACGCCGUCG
This 998-nucleotide unclassified non-coding RNA is filed under the name uncultured fungus. Its description in RNAcentral is "sequence contains 18S rRNA gene, ITS1, 5.8S rRNA gene, ITS2, 28S rRNA gene". The record is from RNAcentral. Lineage: Eukaryota; Fungi.